RNAcentral lists this ribosomal RNA (1372 nucleotides) under uncultured bacterium. RNAcentral describes it as "bacterial SSU rRNA". It matches the Rfam family "Bacterial small subunit ribosomal RNA", at positions 28 to 1381 of the family's 1533-position model. The record is from RNAcentral.
GAUGAACGCUGGCGGCGUGCCUAAUACAUGCAAGUCGAGCGAACGGACGAGAAGCUUGCUUUUCUGAUGUUAGCGGCGGACGGGUGAGUAACACGUGGAUAACCUACCUAUAAGACUGGGAUAACUUCGGGAAACCGGAGCUAAUACCGGAUAAUAUUUUGAACCGCAUGGUUCAAAAGUGAAAGACGGUCUUGCUGUCACUUAUAGAUGGAUCCGCGCUGCAUUAGCUAGUUGGUAAGGUAACGGCUUACCAAGGCAACGAUGCAUAGCCGACCUGAGAGGGUGAUCGGCCACACUGGAACUGAGACACGGUCCAGACUCCUACGGGAGGCAGCAGUAGGGAAUCUUCCGCAAUGGGCGAAAGCCUGACGGAGCAACGCCGCGUGAGUGAUGAAGGUCUUCGGAUCGUAAAACUCUGUUAUUAGGGAAGAACAUAUGUGUAAGUAACUGUGCACAUCUUGACGGUACCUAAUCAGAAAGCCACGGCUAACUACGUGCCAGCAGCCGCGGUAAUACGUAGGUGGCAAGCGUUAUCCGGAAUUAUUGGGCGUAAAGCGCGCGUAGGCGGUUUUUUAAGUCUGAUGUGAAAGCCCACGGCUCAACCGUGGAGGGUCAUUGGAAACUGGAAAACUUGAGUGCAGAAGAGGAAAGUGGAAUUCCAUGUGUAGCGGUGAAAUGCGCAGAGAUGUGGAGGAACACCAGUGGCGAAGGCGACUUUCUGGUCUGUAACUGACGCUGAUGUGCGAAAGCGUGGGGAUCAAACAGGAUUAGAUACCCUGGUAGUCCACGCCGUAAACGAUGAGUGCUAAGUGUUAGGGGGUUUCCGCCCCUUAGUGCUGCAGCUAACGCAUUAAGCACUCCGCCUGGGGAGUACGACCGCAAGGUUGAAACUCAAAGGAAUUGACGGCGGCCCGCACAAGCGGUGGAGCAUGUGGUUUAAUUCGAAGCAACGCGAAGAACCUUACCAAAUCUUGACAUCCUUUGACAACUCUAGAGAUAGAGCCUUCCCCUUCGGGGGACAAAGUGACAGGUGGUGCAUGGUUGUCGUCAGCUCGUGUCGUGAGAUGUUGGGUUAAGUCCCGCAACGAGCGCAACCCUUAAGCUUAGUUGCCAUCAUUAAGUUGGGCACUCUAAGUUGACUGCCGGUGACAAACCGGAGGAAGGUGGGGAUGACGUCAAAUCAUCAUGCCCCUUAUGAUUUGGGCUACACACGUGCUACAAUGGACAAUACAAAGGGCAGCGAAACCGCGAGGUCAAGCAAAUCCCAUAAAGUUGUUCUCAGUUCGGAUUGUAGUCUGCAACUCGACUACAUGAAGCUGGAAUCGCUAGUAAUCGUAGAUCAGCAUGCUACGGUGAAUACGUUCCCGGGUCU